Molecule: transfer RNA, 89 nt
Filed under: Butyrivibrio sp. CAG:318
Lineage: Bacteria; Bacillati; Bacillota; Clostridia; Lachnospirales; Lachnospiraceae
Description: transfer RNA-Ser(TGA)
Rfam family: tRNA
About the family: Transfer RNA (tRNA) molecules are approximately 80 nucleotides in length.
Source: RNAcentral
GGAGAGGUACCGAAGCGGUCAUAACGGGGCGGUCUUGAAAACCGUUUGUCUUCACGGGCGCAUGGGUUCGAAUCCCAUCCUCUCCGCUA